Molecule: transfer RNA, 73 nt
Filed under: Elusimicrobiota bacterium
Lineage: Bacteria; Pseudomonadati; Elusimicrobiota
Description: tRNA-Cys
Rfam family: tRNA
About the family: Transfer RNA (tRNA) molecules are approximately 80 nucleotides in length. Their secondary structure includes four short double-helical elements and three loops (D, anti-codon, and T loops). Further hydrogen bonds mediate the characteristic L-shaped molecular structure. tRNAs have two regions of fundamental functional importance: the anti-codon, which is responsible for specific mRNA codon recognition, and the 3' end, to which the tRNAs corresponding amino acid is attached (by aminoacyl-tRNA synthetases). tRNAs cope with the degeneracy of the genetic code in two manners: having more than one tRNA (with a specific anti-codon) for a particular amino acid; and 'wobble' base-pairing, i.e. permitting non-standard base-pairing at the 3rd anti-codon position.
Source: RNAcentral
GGUGCGGUGCCCAAGUGGCUAAGGGGACGGUCUGCAAAACCGUUAUGCGCCGGUUCAAAUCCGGCCCGCACCU